This 450-nucleotide ribosomal RNA is filed under the name uncultured bacterium. Its description in RNAcentral is "SSU rRNA". It matches the Rfam family "Bacterial small subunit ribosomal RNA", at positions 26 to 518 of the family's 1533-position model. The record is from RNAcentral.
AGGAUGAACGCUGGCGGCGUGCCUAAAACAUGCAAGUCAUACGGGCUACCUUCGGGUAGCCAGUGGCAAACGGGUGAGUAACACGUGGGAACUCGCCCUUCAGUGGGGAAUAACGCUGCGAAAGCAGUGCUAAUACCGCAUACGCUCGUGAGAGUAAAGGAGCAAUCCGCUGAGGGAGAGGCCCGCGUCCGAUUAGUUAGUUGGUGGGGUAACGGCCUACCAAGACUUUGAUCGGUAGCUGGUCUGAGAGGAUGGUCAGCCACACUGGGACUGCGAACGGCCCGGACCCCUACGGGAGGCAGCAGUUAGGGAUUUUCGGCAAUGGACGCAAGUCUGACCGAGCGACGCCGCGUGCAGGAUGAAGCCUUUCGGGGUGUAAACUGCUUUAGCAGGGAAGAUGAUGACGGUACCUGUUGAAUAAGCAUCGGCUAACUACGUGCCAGCAGCCGC